This 253-nucleotide ribosomal RNA is filed under the name uncultured bacterium. RNAcentral describes it as "partial 16S ribosomal RNA". It matches the Rfam family "Bacterial small subunit ribosomal RNA", at positions 524 to 776 of the family's 1533-position model. The record is from RNAcentral.
UACGUAGGGGGCAAGCGUUAUCCGGAUUUACUGGGUGUAAAGGGUGCGCAGGUGGCAGGGCAAGUCAGAUGUGAAAGCCCGGGGCUCAACCCCGGUAUUGCAUUUGAAACUGUCCGGCUAGAGUGCAGGAGAGGUAAGCGGAAUUCCUAGUGUAGCGGUGAAAUGCGUAGAUAUUAGGAGGAACACCAGUGGCGAAGGCGGCUUACUGGACUGUAACUGACACUGAGGCACGAAAGCGUGGGGAGCAAAUAGG